RNAcentral lists this transfer RNA (78 nucleotides) under Chlamydia trachomatis. RNAcentral describes it as "tRNA-Glu(ctc)". It matches the Rfam family "tRNA". Rfam says of the family: Transfer RNA (tRNA) molecules are approximately 80 nucleotides in length. Their secondary structure includes four short double-helical elements and three loops (D, anti-codon, and T loops). Lineage: Bacteria; Pseudomonadati; Chlamydiota; Chlamydiia; Chlamydiales; Chlamydiaceae. The record is from RNAcentral.
CGGCCAGUAAAGGAAAUGGCUAAACUUACUUCCCUCUCAAGGAAGAACUUGGCGGUUCAAAUCCGCCCUGGUCGACCA